Molecule: non-coding RNA, 94 nt
Filed under: Streptomyces subrutilus
Lineage: Bacteria; Bacillati; Actinomycetota; Actinomycetes; Kitasatosporales; Streptomycetaceae
Description: ZTP sequence
Rfam family: ZMP/ZTP riboswitch aptamer (pfl RNA motif)
About the family: Previously known as pfl RNA.
Source: Rfam by way of RNAcentral
GCGGCGGGCCGUGACUGGCGUUCGGGUGGAUCACCACCGGGGAGCGGCCCGCGUACGUGCCGUACGCCGACUGCCGCGCGCCUGGGCGAACCGC